AACCUUGAAACUCACUUACCUGGAUGGGGUCAAUGGGAGAUCAAGAAGUCUCAUGGUCUAGAUCAGUGGCCUACAUUGCACCUUGUGGGCGCACUGGUUUACCAUCUCCCUACGGGGAGAGUGGACGUCAUAAUUUAUGAUAGAGGGGGUACAUGUUCGCGCGGCCCCUACCAACGCUCAAACAAAAAGAUUACCUGUUAUGUAAAUAUUUCAAGCACAAAAUUCAAACUGUUGUGCCAACAAAGAUAUCAACAGAUGAGAAUACAUAAUUCAGUUAUCUAA
This 282-nucleotide ribosomal RNA is filed under the name Triticum aestivum (bread wheat). RNAcentral describes it as "partial small subunit ribosomal RNA". The stretch from base 12 to 170 matches the Rfam family "U1 spliceosomal RNA". Rfam says of the family: U1 is a small nuclear RNA (snRNA) component of the spliceosome (involved in pre-mRNA splicing). Its 5' end forms complementary base pairs with the 5' splice junction, thus defining the 5' donor site of an intron. Lineage: Eukaryota; Viridiplantae; Streptophyta; Magnoliopsida; Poales; Poaceae. The record is from RNAcentral.